GGGGUUGUGGCUCAGUAGUAGAGUGCUUGUCUGACACAUAUGAGGCACUGAAUUUGAUUCUCAGCACCA
Molecule: transfer RNA, 69 nt
Filed under: Ictidomys tridecemlineatus (thirteen-lined ground squirrel)
Lineage: Eukaryota; Metazoa; Chordata; Mammalia; Rodentia; Sciuridae
Description: Spermophilus tridecemlineatus (thirteen-lined ground squirrel) tRNA
Rfam family: tRNA
About the family: Transfer RNA (tRNA) molecules are approximately 80 nucleotides in length.
Source: Rfam by way of RNAcentral